UGUGUUUACUGACUGUGUGUGUUCAGGGCCCACCAGGAGUGUGUUUACUGACUGUGUGUUCAGGGCCCACCAGGAGUGUGUUUACUGACUGUGUGUUCAGGGCCCACCAGGAGUGUGUUUACUGACUGUGUGUUCAGGGCCCACCAGGAGUGUGUUUACUGACUGUGUGUGUUCAGGGCCCACCAGGAGUGUGUUUACUGACUGUGUGUGUUCAGGGCCCACCAGGAGUGUGUUUACUGACUGUGUGUUCAGGGCCCACCAGGAGUGUGUUUACUGACUGUGUGUGUUCAGGGCCCACCAGGAGUGUGUUUACUGACUGUGUGUGUUCAGGGCCCACCAGGAGUGUGUUUACUGACUGUGUGUGUUCAGGGCCCACCAGGAGUGUGUUUACUGACUGUGUGUGUUCAGGGCCCACCAGGAGUGUGUUUACUGACUGUGUGUUCAGGGCCCACCAGGAGUGUGUUUACUGACUGUGUGUUCAGGGCCCACCAGGAGUGUGUUUACUGACUGUGUGUGUUCAGGGCCCACCAGGAGUGUGUUUACUGACUGUGUGUGUUCAGGGCCCACCAGGAGUGUGUUUACUGACUGUGUGUUCAGGGCCCACCAGGAGUGUGUUUACUGACUGUGUGUGUUCAGGGCCCACCAGGAGUGUGUUUACUGACUGUGUGUGUUCAGGGCCCACCAGGAGUGUGUUUACUGACUGUGUGUUCAGGGCCCACCAGGAGUGUGUUUACUGACUGUGUGUGUUCAGGGCCCACCAGGAGUGUGUUUACUGACUGUGUGUUCAGGGCCCACCAGGAGUGUGUUUACUGACUGUGUGUUCAGGGCCCACCAGGAGUGUGUUUACUGACUGUGUGUUCAGGGCCCACCAGGAGUGUGUUUACUGACUGUGUGUUCAGGGCCCACCAGGAGUGUGUUUACUGACCGUGUUCAGGGCCCACCAGGAGUGUGUUUACUGACUGUGUGUUCAGGGCCCACCAGGAGUGUGUUUACUGACUGUGUG
Molecule: long non-coding RNA, 1003 nt
Organism: Oncorhynchus keta (chum salmon)
Lineage: Eukaryota; Metazoa; Chordata; Actinopteri; Salmoniformes; Salmonidae
Exons: 3
Source: RefSeq, a predicted model, not a curated record